This is a long non-coding RNA of Drosophila navojoa, 102 nucleotides long. The record is from RefSeq and is a predicted model, not a curated record. NCBI's taxonomy places the organism in Eukaryota, Metazoa, Arthropoda, Insecta, Diptera, Drosophilidae.
AAAAGACCGGGUUGUAAUUUCCUCGUCUUUAUUUCUUAGAUUAAAGCUGUGUUGCUCGUAUAGCAUUAGUAAAGAUAUACAUGUCUCGGAGUGUCAGUAUCA